GUUAAGACCGAGCCAAUGAACAACAGAGAGAUUGACUAACACAGGCAGCAGCACUGCACAGCCAUGCAGGCGAAGACACGCAGACAUGAAUAGAGGGCUCUGGAACUUGACACACUGAGCGCAGGGAACCAGUGCUCCCCAGCUAACAACAAGACCUGAAUGAUGAUCUUUUGGUGGUUCCUGGCACUGCUGCUGGGAUCUGUUGAAAUAUAUAGAGCCCAUGAAUGUGAUGUGUUCACUUAUCUGGACCUUUAUCACGCUAUCAUUGGAACCAGUCUGUAUGUGAAGCUGUUGCUGUACACCAGAGCUAAUCUGACCUGUGGUCAGGAGCUGUCCCACCAUAACCUGUCAGCCCAGCCCCAGUUCAACCUCACCAAGCCCACCACUUUUGUCGUUCAUGGCUACCGUCCUACGGGCGCUCCGCCCAACUGGUUGAAUAACAUCAUAGAGCAGCUGUUGGCCCGCGGAGACAUGAAUGUCCUGGUGGUGGACUGGAACCGCGGAGCUGCCAAUAUCAACUACCUGAAAGUUGUGACCUACUCACGAGAUACAGCGGACAACCUCACUGCCUUCAUCCGAAACAUGCAGGAGAAUGGUGCCUCUCUUAGUUCCAUCCAUAUGAUUGGGCUCAGUCUAGGAGCUCACAUCACAGGCUUUGUUGGAGCCAAGUUUAAUGGCAAAAUUGGGAGGAUCACAGCUGUAGAUCCAGCGGGGCCUCAGUUCAACGGGAAACCCCCUGAGGAUCGUCUGGACCCUACAGAUGCACAGUUUGUAGACGUUGUGCACACGGACAUGGACGCAUUUGGUUUCAGGAAGCCUUUGGGCCACAUUGAUUUCUAUGCUAACGGUGGAGCCGACCAGCCUGGCUGUCCACUGACCAUCUUAUCAGGGUCUGGAUAUUUUAAGUGUGACCACCAGAGAUCAGUGCUCCUCUAUCUGGGUUCCCUGAACCGGACCUGUAACAUCAGAGCUUUCCCCUGCACCUCCUACACUGACUUCCUGGAUGGACUUUGCAUGGAUUGUGAUCAAUUCAAACCUGCCGGAUGCCCUGUGUUUGGUUAUGACAUCAUAGAGUGGAAGGACUCUCUGGUUCCUCUGCAGCAAACCAAGGCUUUCUUCACCACCAAUAAACAGACACCAUACUGCAAGACGAGCUAUUGGGUGGACAUUGUAACAUGGAACCAUGAUACUCGCUGGGGCUACAUCACCAUAAAACUACACAAUGGUAGUGAGGUGACAGAGGCAACAAUAAACCAUAAAGCAUCCAGUUUUAAGAAGUACUCAGAGACCCGAUUACUGGCCCAGUUUGAAAAAGACCUUCAGAAAGUCCACAAGAUCUCAAUCAAAUUCUCCAGGGUGAAUGCAUUUAAACCUAAGUACAAACUACGGGUGCUCCGCAUCCGUCUCACACACCUGGAGCGCAAAGACAGAAAAGCCAGAGCAGGUCGCUCUCAUGUGAAAGCACGUGACAAGGCUGCAGGCAGACCCCUUAGUCAAACAGCUCCCAUCCGGCCCCCCUUCACAUGAGAAGCCUGAAACAACGUUCUAAAGACGGAUGACAUCUAGUGGAAGCCUUAGGAAGUGCAAAAUAACCCAUAUGCCACUGUGUAGAGGCCUCUCUGCCGCUAUGACAUUCUCCUGGAGGACAACAGAGAGGUGACCUUCAGAUCCAUCCCCUGUGAGGAGUCCAACUUCUGAGACAAUAACAGAUACACAGUAUGAUGUAGAGAGUCAGCAGUGGCCAUUUGAUGGCUCUCUGGGUAAAUGGAGUGAGGCAGUUGACCCAGGUAGCCUACAUGCUACUCACCCUCUGGUCUGUGUAUUCAGUGGCUUAAGUCUAGUAUGAGUCCAGAGCAUUGUAAAUGUGUGUAAGUGUGAUGAUUUUAAUGAAUGAUAUAUUGUAUUCAUUUAUGAAUUUUUUAAAAGUAUUAUGAUGAUUGUGUCUGUAUCACUGAGACCACUGUGUGGUAUAAUAUCUGUGGGAAACCACUACUAAAUCCAUAUUUUAUUAACGUAAAUACAUAUGACAUUUUUGGGAAUGAGAGCCACGUCAAUGGGUCAUUACACGAAAAGAGUGCAUUUUGUAUCCCUUUGAUAUCUUAAUUAACCCCUCUAUGGAAAGAAGAGACUCUCUCGAACACAAUUGUGUUCUCCGUUUUGCUCUACGACCCCCACAAGUGUCUUGGGACUCGUCUGUCAGUAAAUAUCAGUUGUUUUGCUCUAGGACCUCACAAGACUUGUCUGAAGGUCCCACGGUACCCGUUUAAGAAAAGAUUGGAAGUAUAUAUGGAGACUGUUUAGUGCCCAAAAGAAGGGUUAAAUACGGUCCCUGCUCUUUCUUAUAUCUCUCAGAUAUAUGACAGACACUUAAGAACUAACUUCCUUUAGAUUAUUUUUUUAGCUAAAUAAUCCUUAGUAUGACCUUAAAACAAUUCCAUAUAGUUUAGUAGAACACACCCCCCUCUUAGACACGGCUUGGACUGUUUAGUGCCAAAAAGAAGGGGUUUAUUGUACAUAUAUUUUUUAAACAUCACGUGGAGAAUUCAAUACAGAUUUUUUUUAUAUGAAUAAAGACUUGCUAAAGUGCCAAAAUGAAUCAUUUUGACAUGUCCCUCUGUGCCUCCUCUGUGCACCUCUGUGACUUCUUGGAAGAUUUUAACUGACUUGACUCCAACAUUUCUCCAAGUUUCCACCCUCAUUGUAAAGCCCCAACCCUGUUAUGGUCAACCCUGUUAUGGUUAACCCUGCUUCUUAAUUUGGCACUUAAAGUUAGGUGAAAUCAAAAUCUAAUUGGUGGAAUGACCCCAAUACAAUUGAACAUAGACCUUAAACCACUUGACUUAAAGAACAUGCUUGUUUUUUUGUUUUUAUUUUAUAAAAAAUGUCACAUGAUAUAAAAUGUUUUUGUAGAAGAUG
Oncorhynchus tshawytscha (Chinook salmon) is the source of this 2916-nucleotide RNA transcript. It is a transcript of the gene named lipase member H, with no coding region annotated. The transcript is spliced from 13 exons. The record is from RefSeq and is a predicted model, not a curated record. Lineage: Eukaryota; Metazoa; Chordata; Actinopteri; Salmoniformes; Salmonidae.